GCUCCAGACAUGACUCCAGGGCAAGGCGAGGGUCUGGGCCUGUGCACCAUGGCUGCUGUGCUCUGCCCUUCAGGUGUGUUGGGGACCGGACUCUUCCACCAGUUCUACACUGUGCAAAUUCAGGAGGUGCUGGGGAUGCUGUAGGUGAGCUGGGUGCUGGGAUGAAUUUUGUGAUUUCCCAAGUCCUUUCUGCCACCUGGUCACCCACCAGCAGCCAGAGAAGAGGGUUCCUGCAGCCCUUCCAGGUGCUUGCUGGCAGCGCUGGGGAUGCUGCCUGGGGACAAUGCCUGCCCGUCACACCGAAAGCCAUCACCGCACGCCAUCAUUCAAGUCAGCACUUUGCUCCUCUCCUCCCCCUCUCUUUUCUUCUCCUUCCAUCUCUUCCUUUAUCUGAACUUUUAAACCCCACGUCUGGUGCAGAUUUUUACAGUAACUCAAGCCUUUGAGAAUUGUUAAUGCCGUGCUGUUUUCACAGCGACAUUAAUAUGCACUGCAAAAAAUGCCGAGUAUCAAAAGUCGGUCACUGCUGCCGGGAGGCUGCGGGUCGUGGUGGCCACGGGAGAGCAGGAGGCAAGGACGCGACCGUGCUCCAGGGGCGCAGCUCGGGCAGGUGAGGCCCUGGAUUUGACAGGAUUUCCUCUCCGCGCCAUCUCUUCGAUGUGUCUUGAUUUAUGGCCAGGAUACUCCGCUGCACCACCAGCCGUACGGCACUGUGUGGAGACUGUCUGACUGUCGUCUCGGAAAGGUUUGUUUGUGAGUUUUUUAAGCAAGACUGCAUGGAAAUGUGUCACCAAUAAUCAGCUGUUUCCAAACAGUUCAGCAUUGAUGGGGUAUUUGUACUGGCUGCAGGCAGAAGGGCUGAUCCUGGAAGGAAACUUGGUGUGAAGUCCCCAGCCCAUUUACAGAUUCACAUGCUGGACCAUUUCUGGAUGAGAUUUCAGCUUUCUCAGAUCAGACCCUGGUUUCCCAGAGCCAUGCGAAAGGGGCAGCGCUCCUCUGCCCAAACCUCCGCUGGCCGGAGCAACUCACCUGAAACACCAAGCUCUGAACGCUGCUGGCACGGAGAGGCUCCUGGGUGCGACCGGAGUGCAGGUUUCAUCCAGAGGAUCACCUGUAGUCUGCAACUGCAACCAAGGCCAAGGAAAGUCCUUUUCUAAAGGUAACACGGAGCCAACAGGCUUGGGAGUGAGGUUUGGGGUCCACAUGCUGCACCCAGGCAUGGCUGGGCCCUCCUUGGAGGAGGGACUGGGUACAAGGAGCACAGCUCUGCCAAGGCAGGGCUGGACACUUUGGAGUCUGCAAAACUGAAAGUGGGAAGCAUUUUUGUGGUCAUCUUCAGCAUCUGCAUCUCUCUUCUGAUUUAACUGUACAUUUUUCCCAGCUUUUUCUGAUGUUUCUGUCCAGCUUACUCGGGAUCCAAUGCAUUUUAUUUCUGCUAAUGAGGUUCUGGUGAGAUGCGGGCUCUUACUGGAGUUCAGCAGUGGAUCCCUGCUGUAAGAGAGGACAGCGCGCACCCCAAAGUGUUUACAGUGUCAGGCCCAGUCCUGGCAGACGCUGGUCCGCCAGGGGAGCUGGAAGAAAUGGGAAAAUCCCUGAAAUCUUCCCUGAGCUGCCUCAGAACAGGGACUGGACCAGCCCAGAGGCCCUCAGAGCCCCAGCUCACCAGCACAGUUUGGGACUGGAGCAUCCCCACCUGCCAUGGCCAGCAGUGCUGUGGGGUGGAGCAGCAUCAUCAGGAGAGCUGUGACCUGGAUGCACCGCGCAGUCUCCUUCCUAAGCAGUAAGUAACACCCCUAAGACAGAGAUUUUUCCUGAUGGCCAAAGUACUGAGAUGCUGUUGCACAUAUGGGGAACGGUGGUGUGGUCCCCUUCUUCUGUUCCCAAAUCCCAGUCUCCCCACACUGAGCUGGGUCCCUAUGGGAAUACAGUGGUUGUGCCCAGUCCAGUCCCACUCGCUGUACACCCCACUCUCCGGGGCGCGUGUCCUUGCCUCGGCGAGGAGCAGCAUGGAAGAAGUUAGCGCUGCUGUUCCCUAUGGCAAACCAAGCUGUGGCUAAAGGAGUAUUUAGAUACCCUGGGCUGCCAAUUCAGAGCUUUCCUAAAACCAGCAGUAAAAUUUGCCUCCGAUUCCUUUUUAGGAAAAGAAGGCUGUAGUAUAAAGUCCCAUUUUCUAGGCAUUAAAAGUUUACAACCCGCACCAUUAAAAGCAGCAUUCUGUGUCAAACAAUGUUUGGUCUUCAGGAACAGCUAGGAGGAAAAGAGAAGGUUGCCUGUUUGUUCUACAAAACAGGAAAGCGGUUGCUUUCUAUACUGUAAAUAUGCAUUAGAAAGCUCUUAUAGGCUCGUGCUGGGGAUUUGAUGUUUUGAACUGACUACAUUCCUUACAUUUUUGUAUAACUGCCAAGAAAGCUAAAUAAAAUGGCUUUUUUAGUUUUUUCUCUAAGAAUAGCCCUGCUUCUUUGUAAAUAUAGCAAAGGAAUUGUUGAUAAUAAUUCUUUGGGAGAAUAACUGGUGUUAUUGAUGUUAAAAGUAGAAAGAUUGCUGUUUCUCUGUCUCAGAAAUACAGCUAACCAAGUAGGCUGGGACUUCAGAAAGCCUGAGCAUUCCUUAGCCAGUUACUGAGAUUAGACUGUUUCAUUCCUGUGCCAGAAGGUGUAGAAUCAGAGAAGACUGGCACCAAGGCUCAAGUAAAAAAAAAAAAAAAAAUUAAAAAAUUUGCAUUUUCUUUCAGAAUGCAAAACUGAACUUUUCCCCUCCUUGUUUGCAUUUCUCAGUUUGCAGAUGGUUCUGCCUUCUGCUAACUUACCCUGAAAAGCUGGGGGUUAAUCUACUAAGUCUGACUCAAAUAUGCACAAUUAAUUCUUGGGCACCCCUAAACCUCCGCAGUGUUAGGUGAAGUCCCAUCCUCCUGCAAUAUCAGCAGGCAAAGGCUGUCACCCUCAGCUAGAAGUUGACAAGUUGAGCCAAACUUUAGACUACAGGCCCCGGGCUGUUGCUGGUUUGAUGCCCUUCCUACACUCAGACCUUAGAUGUUUUUUGUAAUGCCAUAUGAUAAACUAGUGGCAAAACCAGGAUUACAGGAUGAGAAUUUGAACCAGCCUAUGCCAUGCUCUGGCUGCUAAAUAUUGCUGUCAUCCAGGAUUGGUUCAUAACCCGCUCAUAUGUCACUUCCAGGAAACAAAAAGGCUAAAAUUAAUUUUUUAGGGUUGACCGAAAGCAUCUGCCUUCCCUAUAGUUGAGGCAACGUCUUACAAAGGCCCCCUGUCAUCAACCAGACCUGCACUUCAGUUAAGCAUGCAGAGACUUGGUGCUUGUUCAACCGGGCCUCGUCAGGGCUGGUAGCCCUCGUCAGGAUCAUUUUUCAAAACAGAGACUCAGUGGGGCCAGGCUGCAGCGUACACUGCCCAGACGCUGCCUUCUGCUUGUUCUGACUCUGCCUCCUCCUCGUUUCCCCAGCUGCUCCCUACCUCUGCCGGAAAAGCUGGUAAAUGGUGGUUCCUGAUUCAACUUUGCCAGUGCUGCUCAGCAGUUUAUAGGCCUCCAUUAUAUUCUCUCACUUGUUUACUUCCCAGACUGAAACGCCUCGGUCUCUUUAGUUAUUCCUCAUAGAGAUAUAGUAGGUAAGAAUAGGAAAAUUUUGGGAAAAGAGGUAACCAGUCACUCCUGUCAUGACUUUUUUUCCUCCUAUUGUCUGUUUGGUUACGUGGUCUCCUUGUCAGUGAGCUGUACUCUAUGCCAGAUGGCAUUUGAGGCCAAGCAUCUUAGCAUCUUCUGAGCCAAAGGAAUCGUUUUGUGUUUCGCCUUCAAGCCUGUGCUUGU
This is a long non-coding RNA of Grus americana (Whooping crane), 3819 nucleotides long. RefSeq lists it as uncharacterized. The transcript has 7 exons. The record is from RefSeq and is a predicted model, not a curated record. NCBI's taxonomy places the organism in Eukaryota, Metazoa, Chordata, Aves, Gruiformes, Gruidae.